RNAcentral lists this ribosomal RNA (495 nucleotides) under uncultured bacterium. RNAcentral describes it as "partial 16S ribosomal RNA". It matches the Rfam family "Bacterial small subunit ribosomal RNA", at positions 28 to 507 of the family's 1533-position model. The record is from RNAcentral.
GACGAACGCUGGCGGCGUGCCUAAUACAUGCAAGUAGAACGCUGCAGGAGGAGCUUGCUUCUCUGGAUUAGUUGCGAACUGGUGAGUAACGCGUAGGUAACCUGCCUGGUAGCGGGGGAUCACCAUAGGACACGAUAGCUAAUAACGCAUAAGAGUAGACGUCGCAUGAUAUUUGCUCAUAAGGUUCACUUGCUUCACAACUAGAUGCACCAGCGUUGUAUUAGCUAGUUGGUGAGUUAACGGCUCACCAAGGCAACGAUACAUAGCCGACCUGAGAGGGUGAUCGGCCACACUGGGACUGAGACACGGCCCAGACUCCUACGGGAGGAAGCAGUAGGGAAUCUUCGGCGAGAGGCAGAAGUCUGAACGAGCGACGCCGCGUGAGUGAAGAAAGUCUUCGGAUCGUAAAGAGCUGUUGUAAGAGUAGAACGGUUGUGAGCGUGUAAAGGUCACGCUGAGGCGAGUUCUUACCGGAAAAGCACGGGUUAACACGUU